GAUGAACGCUGGCGGCGUGCCUAAUACAUGCAAGUCGAGCGAACAGACGAGGAGCUUGCUCCUCUGACGUUAGCGGCGGACGGGUGAGUAACACGUGGAUAACCUACCUAUAUGACUGGGAUAACUUCGGGAAACCGGAGCUAAUACCGGAUAACAUGUUGAACCGCAUGGUUCAACAGUGAAAGACGGUCUUGCUGUCACUUAUAGAUGGAUCCGCGCCGCAUUAGCUAGUUGGUAAGGUAACGGCUUACCAAGGCAACGAUGCGUAGCCGACCUGAGAGGGUGAUCAGCCACACUGGAACUGAGACACGGUCCAGGCUCCUACGGGAGGCAGCAGUAGGGAAUCUUCCGCAAUGGGCGAAAGCCUGACGGAGCAACGCCGCGUGAGUGAAGAAGGUCUUCGGAUCGUAAAACUCUGUUAUUGGGGAAGAACAAAUGUGUAAGUAACUCUGCACGUCUUGACGGUACCUAAUCAGAAAGCCACGGCUAACUACGUG
Molecule: ribosomal RNA, 497 nt
Filed under: uncultured bacterium
Lineage: Bacteria
Description: partial 16S ribosomal RNA
Rfam family: Bacterial small subunit ribosomal RNA
Source: RNAcentral